UUUUUUAUUUAAUAUGUGAUGUGCUACCAAGCUAACUCCCUCAUCUCUUUUACCAGUGUAUUGUUGAUGUGAAGAAGCGUGCCGGUUCAAAGCAGUCCAGCAUUUCUGCCAAAUCAUAUGACCCUGAAGACCACGGCACCAGAGGGGUAAAGAUCGGAGUCCUCACUGUGGUUGAAGAUGAUGUUGGCACUCCUGUUUAACUGGCCACUGUGAUAAACCGUGCAAUAAUCCUGGAAGAGGCCAUUGUUCUACAGGAUACUCCAGAUCUGCCAGAAAACUUUGCUUACUUGUUAGGUCUCUUGUAUGCACUCAAUAUCGAAUACCCAAAAGAACUGAAAUAUACUUUUGAAUUCAUUCAGAAAAUCUUCAUGGAUCUUGGCGGUACCUGCUCUGCGAGAGUCCAGUCACUGAAAUUAAAACUGUUGUAGUUGACGAUUUUGCAGAUGUCACUGAAACUAUGGCAAAUCAAAUGGGACAAUGAUUGUUGCAAUUAUACUUUAGUAAUUAAGUAUUUAAAAAAGUAUUCUUCUUUAUAACAAUGUAUUAUUCGAUUCAAACUUUGCAGCCUUGAGGAAUACUGAAGUUUUGAGUUGAGGGGUUUUUUGUUUGUUUUUAUCUGGCUGUACUGGUACAAGCUAACUAUUUGUUCUGAUACACUGUUACAUAUCAUACUGUACUUUACCAAGUGUUUAGGUUUAUUCAGAUGCAGUGUUAAUGUAUUCUCAAUGUUGAUUUGCCAAAAUAAUACAAAAUGCUAUAUACAACGCUU
Molecule: long non-coding RNA, 769 nt
Organism: Silurus meridionalis
Lineage: Eukaryota; Metazoa; Chordata; Actinopteri; Siluriformes; Siluridae
Exons: 2
Source: RefSeq, a predicted model, not a curated record